Molecule: ribosomal RNA, 368 nt
Filed under: uncultured bacterium
Lineage: Bacteria
Description: bacterial SSU rRNA
Rfam family: Bacterial small subunit ribosomal RNA
Source: RNAcentral
ACGGAAGGUCCGGGCGUUAUCCGGAUUUAUUGGGUUUAAAGGGAGCGUAGGCCGGAGAUUAAGCGUGUUGUGAAAUGUAGACGCUCAACGUCUGCACUGCAGCGCGAACUGGUUUCCUUGAGUACGCACAAAGUGGGCGGAAUUCGUGGUGUAGCGGUGAAAUGCUUAGAUAUCACGAAGAACUCCGAUUGCGAAGGCAGCUCACUGGAGCGCAACUGACGCUGAAGCUCGAAAGUGCGGGUAUCGAACAGGAUUAGAUACCCUGGUAGUCCGCACGGUAAACGAUGGAUGCCCGCUGUUGGUCUGAAUAGGUCAGCGGCCAAGCGAAAGCAUUAAGCAUCCCACCUGGGGAGUACGCCGGCAACGGU